UACAGAGGUCCCAAGCGUUGUUCGGAUUCACUGGGCGUAAAGGGUGCGUAGGUGGUGAGGUAAGUCGGAUGUGAAAGCUCGGAGCUCAACUCCGAAAUGGCAUUGGAAACUACCUUGCUCGAGGGUUGGAGGGGGGACUGGAAUACUUGGUGUAGCAGUGAAAUGCGUAGAUAUCAAGUGGAACACCAGUGGGGAAGGCGAGUCCCUGGACAACUCCUGACACUGAGGCACGAAAGCUAGGGGAGCAAACAGG
This 253-nucleotide ribosomal RNA is filed under the name uncultured bacterium. RNAcentral's name for it is "partial 16S ribosomal RNA". It matches the Rfam family "Bacterial small subunit ribosomal RNA", at positions 524 to 776 of the family's 1533-position model. The record is from RNAcentral.